CAGGACAAAGAAGCACAAAAUGGCUGAAUAUGAAGAGAAGGUGAGAAGGUACAAGAGAGGGCGUCGAAUGAGAAGCGGGGAGGGAGAGAGAGACAAAGAAUUGUAUGCACAUACACACACAGAGAGAUACAGGGAGAGAUAGAAAGACAGAGAGAGAUCUCACAAAGAAUAGCCCUGCAUGCAGUCGUCGAUAAGCUGAUCAUCAUGAGUUCUCAUACACACACACAUGCAGCGACGACGAUGAUGACAACAACCGAUAAGGAGAAGCAUCUCCCUACACUUCAUACCCUAUCAUCCUCGCUUCUACUCUCCCAUCAUACCCGCCUUCAAAUUUAUCCAAAUUAACCUCCUAGCUUCAAGCCUCCCCUUCUCCCUUCAUACGUGCCUUCGAAGAUACCCUGAUUGACCUCCUUGCUUCAACCCUGGUCAUUGAGAUUCGUCUUUGCAUUCAAU
Molecule: long non-coding RNA, 453 nt
Filed under: Physcomitrium patens
Lineage: Eukaryota; Viridiplantae; Streptophyta; Bryopsida; Funariales; Funariaceae
Description: long non-coding RNA (PPAT_LNC003926)
Source: RNAcentral